Molecule: long non-coding RNA, 567 nt
Organism: Megalops cyprinoides (Indo-Pacific tarpon)
Lineage: Eukaryota; Metazoa; Chordata; Actinopteri; Elopiformes; Megalopidae
Exons: 4
Source: RefSeq, a predicted model, not a curated record
UUUGAAGGAGCAAGAAAGACCAACAAAAAUUCUGGAGGCUUACCCAUGUUUCAAAGACCUGGAGCAUGUCCUGGAUGAGCUGCACAGAAUUAUUCAGCCAAACAAUUCCAAGUACAUCUCUGAGACAAAGGAGAGGAGUUUUAUGGAGUCAUGAAAAAAGUCAUGAAGCCUCCAAAGACUCUGAAUGGAGUGGAACAUGCCUUGGCUGUCUUCGGAGCCUCCGGAACUCCUCUUCCCAUCCAGCACUGUACCACCUAAGAAGUUGGGUGCAAGCAGUGAGGCCCUUUUCCAUGUCCUGACUUCAAAAGACCCUGAAGGACACCUACGCCAGCGGCCUCUGUUGUGUCCAGUUUUGCUUGUGACUGAAGAGAACUGCAUGAUUGCCAUUGGAUGCACACCAGUGACAACCUUUGACAGUGGGAGACUGCAUGAGGGACUGCUGUACCUUAUGGCCUAUUAUUAUUAUGUCCUGCACCUCACUUACCCAAAGUGUAUUUCCACACUGCCAGUGUUGCAAACAGAAAUUCUGCAAGACUCCAUCCACAACCAAGACACAACCCCCAUCUA